This 3027-nucleotide ribosomal RNA is filed under the name Salmonella enterica subsp. enterica serovar Tennessee. RNAcentral describes it as "bacterial LSU rRNA". It matches the Rfam family "Bacterial large subunit ribosomal RNA". The record is from RNAcentral. Lineage: Bacteria; Pseudomonadati; Pseudomonadota; Gammaproteobacteria; Enterobacterales; Enterobacteriaceae.
GGGUUGUGAGGUUAAGCGACUAAGCGUACACGGUGGAUGCCCUGGCAGUCAGAGGCGAUGAAGGACGUGCUAAUCUGCGAUAAGCGCCGGUAAGGUGAUAUGAACCGUUAUAACCGGCGAUUUCCGAAUGGGGAAACCCAGUGUGAUUCGUCACACUAUCAUUAACUGAAUCCAUAGGUUAAUGAGGCGAACCGGGGGAACUGAAACAUCUAAGUACCCCGAGGAAAAGAAAUCAACCGAGAUUCCCCCAGUAGCGGCGAGCGAACGGGGAGGAGCCCAGAGCCUGAAUCAGCAUGUGUGUUAGUGGAAGCGUCUGGAAAGGCGCGCGAUACAGGGUGACAGCCCCGUACACAAAAGCGCAUGUGCUGUGAGCUCGAUGAGUAGGGCGGGACACGUGGUAUCCUGUCUGAAUAUGGGGGGACCAUCCUCCAAGGCUAAAUACUCCUGACUGACCGAUAGUGAACCAGUACCGUGAGGGAAAGGCGAAAAGAACCCCGGCGAGGGGAGUGAAAAAGAACCUGAAACCGUGUACGUACAAGCAGUGGGAGCCCCACCACCAAAGCAUUCUCUGGUGUUGAAGGCCCUGCAAAGCAGCAUCGCGGUGGCGGAGCGUCGUUUGCGACGCCCAACACACAAAACAAGCGGUGAGUGCUUUGGGGUGGGGUGACUGCGUACCUUUUGUAUAAUGGGUCAGCGACUUAUAUUCUGUAGCAAGGUUAACCGCAUAGGGGAGCCGGAGGGAAACCGAGUCUUAAUUGGGCGUUAAGUUGCAGGGUAUAGACCCGAAACCCGGUGAUCUAGCCAUGGGCAGGUUGAAGGUUGGGUAACACUAACUGGAGGACCGAACCGACUAAUGUUGAAAAAUUAGCGGAUGACCUGUGGCUGGGGGUGAAAGGCCAAUCAAACCGGGAGAUAGCUGGUUCUCCCCGAAAGCUAUUUAGGUAGCGCCUCGUGAAUUCAUCUCCGGGGUAGAGCACUGUUUCGGCUAGGGGGCCAUCCCGGCUUACCAACCCGAUGCAAACUGCGAAUACCGGAGAAUGUUAUCACGGGAGACACACGGCGGGUGCUAACGUCCGUCGUGAAGAGGGAAACAACCCAGACCGCCAGCUAAGGUCCCAAAGUCAUGGUUAAGUGGGAAACGAUGUGGGAAGGCCCAGACAGCCAGGAUGUUGGCUUAGAAGCAGCCAUCAUUUAAAGAAAGCGUAAUAGCUCACUGGUCGAGUCGGCCUGCGCGGAAGAUGUAACGGGGCUAAACCAUGCACCGAAGCUGCGGCAGCGACACUGUGUGUUGUUGGGUAGGGGAGCGUUCUGUAAGCCUGUGAAGGUGUGUCGUGAGGCAUGCUGGAGGUAUCAGAAGUGCGAAUGCUGACAUAAGUAACGAUAAAGCGGGUGAAAAGCCCGCUCGCCGGAAGACCAAGGGUUCCUGUCCAACGUUAAUCGGGGCAGGGUGAGUCGACCCCUAAGGCGAGGCCGAAAGGCGUAGUCGAUGGGAAACGGGUUAAUAUUCCCGUACUUGGUGUUACUGCGAAGGGGGGACGGAGAAGGCUAUGUUGGCCGGGCGACGGUUGUCCCGGUUUAAGCGUGUAGGUGUGUGUUCCAGGUAAAUCCGGUUCACUUUAACACUGAGGCGUGACGACGAGGCACUACGGUGCUGAAGCAACAAAUGCCCUGCUUCCAGGAAAAGCCUCUAAGCAUCAGGUAACAUCAAAUCGUACCCCAAACCGACACAGGUGGUCAGGUAGAGAAUACCAAGGCGCUUGAGAGAACUCGGGUGAAGGAACUAGGCAAAAUGGUGCCGUAACUUCGGGAGAAGGCACGCUGACAUGUAGGUGAAGUGAUUUACUCAUGGAGCUGAAGUCAGUCGAAGAUACCAGCUGGCUGCAACUGUUUAUUAAAAACACAGCACUGUGCAAACACGAAAGUGGACGUAUACGGUGUGACGCCUGCCCGGUGCCGGAAGGUUAAUUGAUGGGGUCAGCGCAAGCGAAGCUCCUGAUCGAAGCCCCGGUAAACGGCGGCCGUAACUAUAACGGUCCUAAGGUAGCGAAAUUCCUUGUCGGGUAAGUUCCGACCUGCACGAAUGGCGUAAUGAUGGCCAGGCUGUCUCCACCCGAGACUCAGUGAAAUUGAACUCGCUGUGAAGAUGCAGUGUACCCGCGGCAAGACGGAAAGACCCCGUGAACCUUUACUAUAGCUUGACACUGAACAUUGAGCCUUGAUGUGUAGGAUAGGUGGGAGGCUUUGAAGUGUGGACGCCAGUCUGCAUGGAGCCGACCUUGAAAUACCACCCUUUAAUGUUUGAUGUUCUAACGUGGACCCGUUAUCCGGGUUGCGGACAGUGUCUGGUGGGUAGUUUGACUGGGGCGGUCUCCUCCUAAAGAGUAACGGAGGAGCACGAAGGUUGGCUAAUCCUGGUCGGACAUCAGGAGGUUAGUGCAAUGGCAUAAGCCAGCUUGACUGCGAGCGUGACGGCGCGAGCAGGUGCGAAAGCAGGUCAUAGUGAUCCGGUGGUUCUGAAUGGAAGGGCCAUCGCUCAACGGAUAAAAGGUACUCCGGGGAUAACAGGCUGAUACCGCCCAAGAGUUCAUAUCGACGGCGGUGUUUGGCACCUCGAUGUCGGCUCAUCACAUCCUGGGGCUGAAGUAGGUCCCAAGGGUAUGGCUGUUCGCCAUUUAAAGUGGUACGCGAGCUGGGUUUAGAACGUCGUGAGACAGUUCGGUCCCUAUCUGCCGUGGGCGCUGGAGAACUGAGGGGGGCUGCUCCUAGUACGAGAGGACCGGAGUGGACGCAUCACUGGUGUUCGGGUUGUCAUGCCAAUGGCACUGCCCGGUAGCUAAAUGCGGAAGAGAUAAGUGCUGAAAGCAUCUAAGCACGAAACUUGCCCCGAGAUGAGUUCUCCCUGAGACUUAGAGUCUCCUGAAGGAACGUUGAAGACGACGACGUUGAUAGGCCGGGUGUGUAAGCGCAGCGAUGCGUUGAGCUAACCGGUACUAAUGAACCGUGAGGCUUAACCUUACAACGCCGAAG